RNAcentral lists this long non-coding RNA (2115 nucleotides) under Nicotiana tabacum (common tobacco). RNAcentral's name for it is "long non-coding RNA (NTAB_LNC016912)". Lineage: Eukaryota; Viridiplantae; Streptophyta; Magnoliopsida; Solanales; Solanaceae. The record is from RNAcentral.
AAAAUAUCAAAAAUAGUUUCAUAUUUUAUAUAUAAUUUAGUUUAAUUAAUUAGAUAGAUUUUUGCAUUACGUAGUAUAUUUAGCUUAUAUUAAAGGGUAUUUAGUUAAGGUUCUUUAGUCCAAUUUUAAGGCCCAAAUAUGAAGUCAAAGCCCAUAACCCCAAUAACCUGAUAAACCUAGGGUCUUCUUCUUCAGACUUGGAACAAAAAACCCUAAGGAUCCCCUUAACAAAAAUACACAACCCUGCCGGAACAAGCCAUCCUCUCCAGCUAACACACACGACCAAGACCCUUCUUCAACAGAACAACAGCCGCUGCCCAAAUGCCGGAACCAGUUCCCCUCUUCUUCAAACUUGAGCGCCCAUCUAAUACCUCCAGCCGUUGCUUGUCUUCCUCACACUAGCCGGAGCGUCGUUGCCCUCCUCCAAACGACCGAUCACUCCAUCCUCGAACGAGCACAGCCGCCGGCGACGUUGCUCUAACACUCAGCGUCCGACCUCCUCUUCAAGUCACCUCUACCAUGGCUUUUGAUUCGCAUUUUUCCUUUUAUGAUUUUGUUAUAGUUCACUGGUAUAAUCAAAAAACAACAAAGGGAUUUCAGUUGGCUUAGUUUCAUUUGUGAUUUCAAACUCAAAAUAUAUAAUGAGAAUUUAGUUUACUCUUUUAGUUUUGGUUUCCGAACUAGAGUGGAUAUGAAACGGGUUUUCGAUCGUUGGAGUUACUGUUUGAUGUUUGUGGUCUGCCGUUCGAGUCCAUAUUUGGAAUACAUUUGAGGCCUUGUUUGCGUUUUUCUGGUCUGCGAUUCUAGCAGAAGUUCGCGGUUCUUGCUGUUUUAUUGUCGUUCUUCUAAAAUUUUGCACAUCCGGACGGAGGCUAAUUAAAAAUUCAUGCAAGGUCCAUUCUUACCUUUAAUAUUUUACCUCCUGAUGUUUGUCACAUAGGUGUUUGAAUGGCAUAUGCAUAUAUUUUCCAUGACUAUGUGUGAUAUUUUUUAUCUUACGAUGAAAUUUGACUGAUUAACACGUUUUGACAUUACUGAUUCAAUCAAAUCGUAUUGAAUCUUAAAUUAAAUAAGAGGUUCAAACUUGAAAGCUUGUUUGGAAUUGAUCUCAAUAGUUGGGUUGUUGGGUAAAAUUGAAAGAAAUUUAGGUGCAAGAUAAAUUAUAUUGUUCUUUUAUUCUUGUUUUAUUACUUCUUCGUAUAGGAGCAUGCUUAGGCCGUCAUCACUUGGGUAGGCAAGCCUUAAGUUUUGUUAUUUCGUUUGAGGCGAGGGGUCGUUCCUUUAGUUGAAUAUAUUCGGGAAAUGUCUCGAGAAAUUUGAAUAUAUUUUAUCCGGGGUAUGCCCUGAAGUAUUUGUAUUUGAAGGCUAGCGAUACAUUCUGAGGAAGCAUAGAAUAGUAUUUUUACUUUUUACUUUUGUUUUUAUUUUAUUAGGUGGGGAUAACCUCGAGCCUCUUUUGAUUGUUUAUCUUCGUUUUGUGUUUUUUUACCUCAAUCUGAGUAUUCUUUAAAGCCAACUUGAUCAUGUACGCAACCGUGACUUUCACGGGACCGGGGAAUGCCUAACACCUUUUCCCCGAGUCAAAUGACCCCCCUAUCCAAAUCUCUGGUGCAGACUUAAUUUGGAGUCCAAAGUGUUUUAAAAGGAAAAUUAUUUUUAAAAACGAUGACCUGGCACACCGAAACAAAUGUUAGGUGGCGACUCUGAGUUAUUUCAUUUUGAACACAAUUUUGUCACUUUUUUAAUUAAAAACUCUUUCGAUCUUUACAAAUCCUUUUAUUUAUUUUUAAUAGGGUUAAGUGAAAUUGGUAAAAAAGGGGUAUGACAACUGUUGAUUUGAGAAACAUGACGUCUUUGAAUUAUGGAAAUUUAGGUGUAGAUAAUUCUACUAUUGAUCUCCAUACAUAUUGUGAAGGAAACCACCCAUGGCAAAAUUUUCAAAACGUUCCUGAGAGCGAGUUAUGUGCACAACUCAAUCUUAUUUGUGGAAUGUGUGUGAUGUGUGUGGUGGUAAAAAUGGUCACUUUUAUGGUUGUACUUAUAUUUUUUAUCUUCUCUCAACCCUUUACUAUGAUAGUUCUACCUUUUCUUGUGAAGUUAACAGGAACAAAGAAU